CUCCUCUGGCUCAUCUCUUUCUCUACCCCCUCCAAGCGCUGGUUCAGCUGGUUCCUCUGCAGCAGGCCGGCCAACUGGUACUGGGAAAAGUCUCCUGAGUGCUAACAAAAAGAGGAGUCUGUGUUAAGAGGAGCAGACGGGAGGCAGGCUGGCAAACUCCUCAGAGUUGAUGUCCACUGAGUUGGGGUCUUCAUAAAAAUCUUCCUGAAACAUGACGAGCAACGUGGCUUCAAAUAUCAAUCAUCAAACAGGGCAUUCAUAUGAAGAGAAGCUGAGUGAUACAGACAACCAAGAUAAGAACGUAGUAAUAAUGUGGUGAUUUUUUUUCAUACUUUCAGAAGACAAUGACAUGUAUAGUUUUAUGAAAUAAUCAUUUGUAGAGACGACAUAACAGCCAAACAGAGGCUGCUGAUUUCACUUCACUGUACCGCUUUACUGUGAUCGAGCCUGUGAUAUCAAGUAACUAUGAAAACAUAAAUACCACAUAUCUUACCAUUAAUAUUAUACUGGAAUAUCCGCCCCAGGUCGAUAACAAAGCAUUUACAGAUGUGUUAUUUGGUGGUGGUGCUAUACAAUUUGUGCAUAUCAUAGUUUUACCUGAUACAUGUCAUGACUGCCCAUCUCUGUCUCUUCCUCCUCCUCUGAACUGCAAGGAGAGGGGGACACAUUAAAAUGAUUAUAGUACCAGAA
Molecule: long non-coding RNA, 690 nt
Organism: Lates calcarifer (barramundi perch)
Lineage: Eukaryota; Metazoa; Chordata; Actinopteri; Centropomidae
Exons: 2
Source: RefSeq, a predicted model, not a curated record